UGCUCAGAAUCCUCCGAGCCACGACGAAGAAUUCGGGAUUUAAUAUCAUCAUAACCAGAACAAUGUCGUCUGUCCGGAUAUUGGUUGUCCUCAUGGUUGUGUGCAUCCUCGCAGGGAGUUUAGUGCAGCAGGCAGAAGCAUGGUGUCGUUGCGCGUACUACUGUAACUGGGGAGAAUGUGAAGUAGCAAGUUGUGGAGGGUGGAAGGUGGUUUGCUGCUCACUCGCUAGCCCUGUGUGUGAUUUCAGAAUUGGGUAAUCAAGUUUUGGAACAUGCAGUCAAAAUAAAACAGACUUGAAACUUGUAUGCGAUAAUGUGUGUAUUCAAUUUUAUUUGAAUAACAAUACAAUUUCAAACAUUAAAUUCCAUUAUAUUUGAUACAGUCGAUUUUAUUAAGAAUAGUCUUUCGAUCGUCAGGAUUAUUCGUAUAAUCGCAUUUUCGAAUAAUCGCUUCUUUGUGUACGUGUACGUGUACAUGUCUGACUUUAUA
Dreissena polymorpha is the source of this 489-nucleotide long non-coding RNA. RefSeq lists it as uncharacterized. The record is from RefSeq and is a predicted model, not a curated record. The transcript has 4 exons. NCBI's taxonomy places the organism in Eukaryota, Metazoa, Mollusca, Bivalvia, Myida, Dreissenidae.